UAAAAGGUGAUCAGUGGAAACUUUCCUCU
This 29-nucleotide non-coding RNA is filed under the name Homo sapiens (human). Lineage: Eukaryota; Metazoa; Chordata; Mammalia; Primates; Hominidae. The record is from RNAcentral.